RNAcentral lists this unclassified non-coding RNA (215 nucleotides) under Hevea brasiliensis (rubber tree). The record is from RNAcentral. Lineage: Eukaryota; Viridiplantae; Streptophyta; Magnoliopsida; Malpighiales; Euphorbiaceae.
GCUGACCACAAAUAUAAUUUUUCAAUCACCUGCAAAGUUUACAAGUGAACUUGCAUUCUUGAUAUGGGGAAAUUUUCACGUUGAAGAUAACUUUAUUACACGUCAGUAACUAUAACAACUCAAUCCCCAUAGCUUUUCAAGCAACCACCACCCAAAGAUGCGCUUUCCUAAGAAUCAUAUAUAAAAGAAACUCACAAGACGGCUACAUAAAACCU